ACACUGCUGAGGAGUCCCACAAUAGGACGAAACGGUCGUUCAAUAC
This 46-nucleotide non-coding RNA is filed under the name Schistosoma margrebowiei. Lineage: Eukaryota; Metazoa; Platyhelminthes; Trematoda; Strigeidida; Schistosomatidae. The record is from RNAcentral.